CCUACGGGUGGCAGCAGUGAGGAAUAUUGGUCAAUGGACGAGAGUCUGAACCAGCCAAGUAGCGUGAAGGAUGACUGUCCUAUGGGUUGUAAACUUCUUUUAUCAGGGAAUAAAACAGGGUACGUAUACCCUCUUGUAUGUACCAUAAGAAUAAGGAUCGGCUAACUCCGUGCCAGCAGCCGCGGUAAUACGGAGGAUCCGAGCGUUAUCCGGAUUUAUUGGGUUUAAAGGGUGCGUAGGGGGUUUGUUAAGUCAGUGGUGAAAGUUUGGGGCUCAACCGUAGCAUGGCAGUUGAAACUGGCAGUCUUGAGUACAGUAGAGGUAGGCGGAAUGCGUGGUGUAGCGGUGAAAUGCUUAGAUAUCACGAAGAACUCCGAUUGCGAAGGCAGCUCACUGGACUGAAACUGACGCUGAGGCUCGAAAGUGUGGGUAUCAAACAGGAUUAGAUACCCCGGUAGUC
RNAcentral lists this ribosomal RNA (460 nucleotides) under uncultured bacterium. Its description in RNAcentral is "partial 16S ribosomal RNA". It matches the Rfam family "Bacterial small subunit ribosomal RNA", at positions 338 to 795 of the family's 1533-position model. The record is from RNAcentral.